CCCUUAUGACCUGGGCUACACACGUGCUACAAUGGUUGGUACAACGAGUUGCGAGUCGGUGACGGCGAGCUAAUCUCUUAAAGCCAAUCUCAGUUCGGAUUGUAGGCUGCAACUCGCCUACAUGAAGUCGGAAUCGCUAGUAAUCGCGGAUCAGCACGCCGCGGUGAAUACGUUCCCGGGCCUU
This 184-nucleotide ribosomal RNA is filed under the name uncultured Streptococcus sp. Its description in RNAcentral is "partial 16S ribosomal RNA". It matches the Rfam family "Bacterial small subunit ribosomal RNA", at positions 1199 to 1382 of the family's 1533-position model. The record is from RNAcentral. Lineage: Bacteria; Bacillati; Bacillota; Bacilli; Lactobacillales; Streptococcaceae.